Long non-coding RNA from Thalassophryne amazonica, 187 nucleotides. RefSeq lists it as uncharacterized. The transcript is spliced from 3 exons. The record is from RefSeq and is a predicted model, not a curated record. Lineage: Eukaryota; Metazoa; Chordata; Actinopteri; Batrachoidiformes; Batrachoididae.
CUGUGCCCACACAGGUGCUGACCAUGCUGGGCUUCCUGGAAACAGGGGCAUUCCAGUGUGAGCUAGCCGAUCAGUCAGGAGCGUGCCAGUCAAGCUUGAGCCGAGCCAUGUCAGAUGUGUGUAACGCAAUCAUCUGAAUGUCAUCAGGCACAUCACAUUCCAACAUUAAAGCAGAAAAUGAGAGCUG